AUUGAACGCUGGCGGCAGGCCUAACACAUGCAAGUCGAACGAGUGGCGGACGGGUGAGUAAUGUCUGGGAAACUGCCUGAUGGAGGGGGAUAACUACUGGAAACGGUAGCUAAUACCGCAUACCAUCGGAUGUGCCCAGAUGGGAUUAGCGUGUAGGUGAGGUAACGGCUCACCUAGGCGACGAUCCCUAGCUGGUCUGCGAGGAUGACCAGCCAGACUGGAACUGAGACACGGUCCAGACGCCUACGGUAGGCAAUAGUGGGGAAUAUUGCACAAUGGGCGCAAGCCUGAUGCAGCUAUGCCGCGUGGAUGAAGAAGGCCUUCGGGUUGUAAAGUACUUUCAGCGGGGAGGCGUUACCCGCAGAAGAAGCACCGGCUAACUCCGUGCCAGCAGCCUCGGUAAUAC
Molecule: ribosomal RNA, 406 nt
Filed under: uncultured bacterium
Lineage: Bacteria
Description: partial 16S ribosomal RNA
Rfam family: Bacterial small subunit ribosomal RNA
Source: RNAcentral